GCGCCGAUAGCUCAAUUGGCAGAGCAGCUGGCUCUUAACCAGCGGGUUCGGGGUUCGAGUCCCUGUCGGCGCA
RNAcentral lists this transfer RNA (73 nucleotides) under Haloechinothrix halophila YIM 93223. RNAcentral describes it as "Amycolatopsis halophila YIM 93223 tRNA". It matches the Rfam family "tRNA". Rfam says of the family: Transfer RNA (tRNA) molecules are approximately 80 nucleotides in length. Their secondary structure includes four short double-helical elements and three loops (D, anti-codon, and T loops). Further hydrogen bonds mediate the characteristic L-shaped molecular structure. tRNAs have two regions of fundamental functional importance: the anti-codon, which is responsible for specific mRNA codon recognition, and the 3' end, to which the tRNAs corresponding amino acid is attached (by aminoacyl-tRNA synthetases). tRNAs cope with the degeneracy of the genetic code in two manners: having more than one tRNA (with a specific anti-codon) for a particular amino acid; and 'wobble' base-pairing, i.e. permitting non-standard base-pairing at the 3rd anti-codon position. RNAcentral also lists the same sequence under 2 other names. The record is from Rfam by way of RNAcentral. Lineage: Bacteria; Bacillati; Actinomycetota; Actinomycetes; Pseudonocardiales; Pseudonocardiaceae.